CCUACGGGAGGCAGCAGUGAGGAAUAUUGGUCAAUGGGCGCGAGCCUGAACCAGCCAAGUAGCGUGAAGGAUGACUGCCCUACGGGUUGUAAACUUCUUUUAUAAAGGAAUAAAGUGAGGCACGUGUGCCUUUUUGUAUGUACUUUAUGUAUAAGGAUCGGCUAACUUCGUGCCAGCAGCCGCGGUAAUACGGAGGAUCCGAGCGUUAUCCGGAUUUAUUGGGUUUAAAGGGAGCGUAGAUGGGUUGUUAAGUCAGUUGUGAAAGUUUGCGGCUCAACCGUAAAAUUGCAAUUGAUACUGGCAGCCUUGAGUACAGUUGAGGUAAGCGGAAUUCGAGGUGUAGCGGUGAAAUGCUUAGAUAUAACGAAGAACUCCGAUUGCGAAGGCAGCUUACUAGACUGCCACUGACAUUGAUGCUCGAAAGUGUGGGUAUCAAACAGGAUUAGAUACCCGUGUAGUC
This 460-nucleotide ribosomal RNA is filed under the name uncultured bacterium. RNAcentral describes it as "partial 16S ribosomal RNA". It matches the Rfam family "Bacterial small subunit ribosomal RNA", at positions 338 to 795 of the family's 1533-position model. The record is from RNAcentral.